RNAcentral lists this long non-coding RNA (1481 nucleotides) under Equus asinus (donkey). RNAcentral's name for it is "lncRNA (ENSEASG00005023854.1)". The record is from RNAcentral. Lineage: Eukaryota; Metazoa; Chordata; Mammalia; Perissodactyla; Equidae.
GGCCGGGAACUCGGACGUGUGUGGGAGGGAUGCGAAACUGUGCCGGCAGCCCCAGAAAAGAAUCAGGCUUUGUCCUCAUCUUUGCAUGCACCUGUCAUCCCAAACCCUUAACAAACAUUGUGUCAUCACCUUCCAAACCUCUCUGUGGAUUCGGCCCCGGGGGGCGGGGGCGGGGGCGGAGGGGGCGGGGAGGCGGCGCUCAGGGAGCGGCAUUCCGCGCAUUCCUGCCUCCUGACAGCUCCUGGUACCACGGCUGCGAGCCCGGGAUGUCCAAAAAUUCCAGCUGACUCAUCUGUGGAUUCAUAUUAUCCGAAACAAUGAUAGAGGCAUCCUAUGUGUUUCCUUAUGUCACUAGUGAACAUCGAUGAAGAUGGAAAAAUGAAACGGGCCUAAAAUGAAGCCCCUCUCUGGCAAAUGUGUCCAUAGAGCUUUGGCCGCCCCUCCUGCCAAGCAGCCGUCUCUGGAAAUGAGCAUUUGGAAGAUUAGCCCUGACCUAACAUCUGCCACCAAUCCUCCUCUUUUGCUGAGGAAGACUGGCCCUGAGCUAACAUCUGUGCCCAUUUUCCUCUGUUUUACAUGUGGGACGCCUGCCACAGCAUGGCUUGAUAAGCAGUGCAUAGGUCCACAGCCGGGGUUCUGAACCGAAGAACCUCAAGCGCUGAAGUAGAGCACAUGAACUUAACCACUUUGCCAGUGGGCCAGCCCUCAAUAUUUCUAAUUCUUGAUUAUAAAAUGUGAUUGCAGACCUUAGGGCAAAGCUGGUGUGUGCCUCCUACUCUCUCAUCCUGGCCCCACCUGGGCUUUGUUUGCUCUCAGACAAGUCCCUUAACCUCUUCGUAGGGGACCCUUCUCUCUGGAAACUUCCCUCCACUCCCAACCCCUCCCCUCAUGGCCGCAGAGUCAGGAGAAUGGGCCUCUGUGCGAUGCGAUUCCCACUCCUGCCCCCUCACCUGACUCAGCUGGGCCAUCGGACCAUCUCCCGUGAAGACCUGUGCCCGGGUCCAAGGGGCAGCCUGUUAGCCUCCUCAAGGGCCUGGGCCUGUGACUGUUGGCCUUGGACCCAUGGGCAGCCAGCAUCUUUGGCCAAGGGACUGGGUAUCAAAAAGAGCCAUUAUGAAGGGAGAGAAGAAUGAGUUGUAUGUAUGGGAAGAGCAGAAACAAGGAACCCUGGGUUUCUAAAGGCUUUGCAGUGUCUAACUCCAGUCCCUUUCCAAAAAUUGACUACAUGCCUUGGGUUCCAUGAGACACUCCUGCACAGUUAUAACAAAUUCUCCUCCUCUUCCUUUUUUUUUUUUUAACCUAAGCUAACCCAGAAUGGGUUGUACCACUUGCACUUGUAGAGUUAUAACUAAUAUACCCUGUAAAAUAUGAGUCCAAAACAGUUCACAGGAGUAUUAUAAGAAUAAAUUGAGAUAUUUGUAUGAAUAUGCCAUAGAAGUACUAAUGUGAAUUAUCUUACGGUAUUAAUAUUAUUAUUACUA